This 388-nucleotide ribosomal RNA is filed under the name uncultured bacterium. RNAcentral's name for it is "bacterial SSU rRNA". It matches the Rfam family "Bacterial small subunit ribosomal RNA", at positions 29 to 408 of the family's 1533-position model. The record is from RNAcentral.
AACGAACGCUGGCGGCGCGCCUAAUACAUGCAAGUCGAGCGAGAAGACGUAGCAAUACGUUUGUAAAGCGGCGAACGGGUGAGGAAUACAUGGGUAACCUACCCUCGAGUGGGGAAUAACUAGCCGAAAGGUUAGCUAAUACCGCGUACGCUCCUUGGACUUCGGUUCAGGGAGGAAAGCGAUACCGUGGGUAUCGCGCUCUUGGAUGGGCUCAUGUCCUAUCAGCUUGUUGGGAGGUAACGGCUCACCAAGGCUUCGACGGGUAGCUGGUCUGAGAGGACGAUCAGCCACACUGGCACUGCGACACGGGCCAGACUCCUACGGGAGGCAGCAGUAAGGAAUAUUGCGCAAUGGGCGAAAGCCUGACGCAGCGACGCCGCGUGGGGGA